AGGAGACAAAGCAAAUAAUGACAAACUGUGUCAAUGAAGCACAUGAAUUUGGGUUUCUGGAAAGGAACUCGCCUACUGGAUGAUUCAGAAGACAGUGAAUGAAGCAGAGGAACAAAGAAAUAAGAUAUGGGGCAGUUCAGAGAGGAAGAACACAUUCAUUUGAAUGUGUGGAAUGGUCUUAACUAGAAAAUGAUGUUGGCAUUACAGUAGGCCCAGGUCACGGCAGGUGGAGUACACUAGAUCAAGGCUUCUCUGUACCUGGUCUGGAGACCUGCCUUUGAAUGAGCCAGUCAUCAAGAUAUGGAAACAGGUGCCCCCCGACGCCUGAGGUCCGGAAUGAGAUUGCCACGACCUUGGUGGUGGGGACAGCCAGAACGGCUGACAUGCAGACUGCGGCAUGUGGAUGCCCAGUGAACGGAGGGUGGCUUUGGUGUCCUUCAUCCCAUGCAGCCUCGCAUCCAUUUGAUCAGAAAACAGACCAUUCCCAUCAAAAGGAAGGUCCUGAAUGGAGGUCUGCAUCUCCUGAGAGAGCCCAGCGGUUUGAAGCCAGGAGCUGUGCUUCAUCACCACCACGGAUGCCACCACCCCGGCCGCCAAGUCCGCCACAUCCCACGCAAUCUGCAGGGCACAGAGAGCCACUGAGGUGCCCUCCUGCACCAGGGUGAUGAAUUCCUGGGCCCAAUCUCCUUAAAUUUAUCGAGAGUCCCCCAUAAAUUGAAGUUAUAAUAGCCCAGGAGGGCCUGGUGGUUUGCCACCUGAAACUGUAGACUUGCAGUGGAAUAAAUUUUUUUUUUCCAAACAA
Mauremys reevesii (Reeves's turtle) is the source of this 802-nucleotide long non-coding RNA. RefSeq lists it as uncharacterized. The record is from RefSeq and is a predicted model, not a curated record. The transcript is spliced from 3 exons. NCBI's taxonomy places the organism in Eukaryota, Metazoa, Chordata, Testudines, Geoemydidae.